Molecule: ribosomal RNA, 386 nt
Filed under: uncultured bacterium
Lineage: Bacteria
Description: bacterial SSU rRNA
Rfam family: Bacterial small subunit ribosomal RNA
Source: RNAcentral
GAUGAACGCUAGCGGCAGGCUUAAUACAUGCAAGUCGAGGGGCAACAGGGGUAGCAAUACCUGCUGGCGACCGGCAAACGGGUGCGGAACACGUACAGAACCUUCCUUUAAGCGGGGGAUAGCCCAUAGAAAUGUGGAUUAAUACCCCAUAGUAAUGUUUGAUGGCAUCAUCAGAUAUUUAAAGAUUUAUCACUUAAAGAUGGCUGUGCGGCUGAUUAGGUAGNGGUUGAGGUAACGGCUCACCAAGCCAUCGAUCAGUAACUGGUGUGAGAGCACGACCAGUCACACGGGCACUGAGACACGGGCCCACUCCUACGGGAGGCAGCAGUAAGGAAUAUUGGUCAAUGGACGCAAGUCUGAACCAGCCAUGCCGCGUGAAGGAUGAA